GUCUACAGAAGGGGAGGCACCAGUAUUUGUGUUAGAAGCCAUGGUCAAUGAACCGGCUUAAAUGAACAACUUUUCAACAGGCAGAGUAUAACCAAAAACAGGUAUUCACACACAAUAACCAGCAAACAGAGUAUAACCAAAAAUCAAAUCAGGUAUUCACAGACAACAUCAGAUGCUCACAUACACAGAGUCAGAUAAUCACAUAUAAUACCGAAGAUAAGGACAGAGUUACCCUCAUUCUUCGCGACUGGAGAAGAUCGGCCUUCAAACAACAGAGAAACCCUAGGUAUCAAAUCCUAGGUGUAACCUUGGAAAUCCUUACUGGAAAUCUGAUCAGGAACGUCGGAGAGGAACCCAAAACGUCCACUGAGUGAGAAUCGAACCACCGGAUGGCAGUAAAACUUUAGGUUAAACCACCAGAAACCCUAGAAACCGAUAGGUCACCCAAAAAUCAACCAAAAAUCAUCAUAAAAUCUUCCAGAACGUUCAGGAGAAGAAAAUACACUCCGAUAUCACGACGAAAGACUCAGAAAGGUGUCCGAUAGAGAACGUUCAGGAGAAGAAAAUACACUCCGAUAUCACGACGAAAGACUCAGAAAGGUGUCUGAUAGAUCGGAAUCUUCAUCGACCGUGAGGUCUGAUAAAACACCCCCAAAACCUCGAAACAAACUUCAUCCAAGACAACGAAGUACAAAGAAACAUAAUCGUCGUCGAGGCUCUGAUACCAUGUAAACAUUCAUAUUAGACCGAGAAAUCAUAUAAAAUCUAGAGAGAGAAAGUAGAGAGAAGGCAGAGCGUCUUGGAAUUCUCUAGAAGAUGAGAGAAGUGCAUUACAGAAAAUAAAAUGAAAAAUGAGUCUCGGUAGGUGAGAAAAUAUCUCACCUACAUAUAUACUUAUUACACAUGGACGGGUCGGAUCGGGUGAUCCGGCCCAAAAUUAAAUAAUGGACAUUGGGCUCAGAUACACAAAU
Molecule: long non-coding RNA, 971 nt
Filed under: Nicotiana benthamiana
Lineage: Eukaryota; Viridiplantae; Streptophyta; Magnoliopsida; Solanales; Solanaceae
Description: long non-coding RNA (NBEN_LNC038051)
Source: RNAcentral